UGCGUAGGUGGUUUGAUAAGUUAUCUGUGAAAGCCCUGGGCUCAACCUGGGAAGGCCAGAUAAGACUGUUAGACUGGAGUAUGGGAGAGGGUAGUGGAAUUUCCGGUGUAGCGGUGAAAUGCGUAGAGAUCGGAAGGAACACCAGUGGCGAAGGCGGCUACCUGGCCUGAUACUGACACUGAAGCACGAAAGCGUGGGGAGCAAACAGGAUUAGAUACCCUGGUAGUCCACGCCGUAAACGAUGUCAACUAGCUGUUGGUCAUAUGAAUGUGAUUAGUGGCGAAGCUAACGCGAUAAGUUGACCGCCUGGGGAGUACGAUCGCAAGAUUAAA
Molecule: ribosomal RNA, 332 nt
Filed under: uncultured Legionella sp.
Lineage: Bacteria; Pseudomonadati; Pseudomonadota; Gammaproteobacteria; Legionellales; Legionellaceae
Description: bacterial SSU rRNA
Rfam family: Bacterial small subunit ribosomal RNA
Source: RNAcentral